This 306-nucleotide unclassified non-coding RNA is filed under the name plant metagenome. RNAcentral's name for it is "partial contains 5.8S ribosomal RNA, internal transcribed spacer 2, and large subunit ribosomal RNA". The stretch from base 1 to 105 matches the Rfam family "5.8S ribosomal RNA", at positions 50 to 154 of the family's 154-position model. The record is from RNAcentral.
GAAAUGCGAUAAGUAAUGUGAAUUGCAGAAUUCAGUGAAUCAUCGAAUCUUUGAACACACAUUGCGCCCGCCAGUAUUCUGGCGGGCAUGCCUGUCCGAGCGUCAUUUCAACCAUCAAGCCCCCGGGCUUGUGUUGGGGACCUGCGGCUGCCCACAGGCCCUGAAAACCAGUGGCGGGCUCGCUGUCACACCGAGCGUAGUAGCAAUCACCUCGCUCAGGGCGUGCUGCGGGUUCCGGCCGUUAAACAGCCUUACAAAACCCAAGGUUGACCUCGGAUCAGGUAGGAAGACCCGCUGAACUUAAGC